RNAcentral lists this ribosomal RNA (253 nucleotides) under uncultured bacterium. RNAcentral describes it as "partial 16S ribosomal RNA". It matches the Rfam family "Bacterial small subunit ribosomal RNA", at positions 524 to 776 of the family's 1533-position model. The record is from RNAcentral.
GACAGAGGUGCCGAGCGUUAGGCGGAAUCACUGGGCUUAAAGCGUGUGUAGGCGGGUCGUUAAGUGUCUUGUGAAAUCCCCCGGCUCAACCGGGGAAUGGCUGGGCAUACUGGCGAUCUUGAGCAGUCUAGGGGCAGAUGGAACAAGUGGUGGAGCGGUGAAAUGCGUAGAUAUCGUCUGGAACGCCGAAGGUGAAAACAGCUCGCUGGGGUUGUGCUGACGCUGAGACACGAAAGCCAGGGGAGCGAACGGG